Molecule: long non-coding RNA, 471 nt
Filed under: Homo sapiens (human)
Lineage: Eukaryota; Metazoa; Chordata; Mammalia; Primates; Hominidae
Description: HSALNT0032615
Source: RNAcentral
UCCAACUGUAACUGGCAGAUGCUUUAAUACAAUCUGGAUUUUAUUUUUCUGUGAGAAGGUUUUCUGUAUAGCUUGUGGUGCUAACGAUGAAACAGAGAGGAAAUAAUGCAAAAGGUGUCCCAAGGCUCCUGACCAGUGAACAAAGAUUUGAGAAAGACAGCCAAGCUCAUGUUUUCUCCUGAUCAAGAAAAUCAUCCAUCUAAAGCACCAGUAAAAUAUGGUGAACUCAUUGUCUUAGGGUAUAAUGGGUCUCUCCCAAAUGGCGAUAGAGGAAGGAGGAAAAGUAGGUUUGCUUUGUUUAAAAGACCUAAGGCAAAUGGGGUGAAGCCCAGCACUGUGCAUAUUGCUUGUACUCCUCAGGCUGCAAAGGCAAUAAGCAACAAAGACCAGCAUAGCAUAUCAUAUACUUUAUCUCGGGCCCAGACUGUGGUGGUUGAAUAUACUCAUGACAGCAACACCGAUAUGUUUCAG